GAUGAAGAACGUAGCGAAAUGCGAUAAGUAAUGUGAAUUGCAGAAUUCAGUGAAUCAUCGAAUCUUUGAACGCACCUUGCGCUCCUUGGUAUUCCGAGGAGCAUGCCUGUUUGAGUGUCAUUAAAUUCUCAACCUCACCAGUUUUGUAACGAGACGGGUGAAGGCUUGGAUGUGGGGGUUUUGCAGGCUGCCUCAGUGCUGGUCUGCUCUCCUGAAAUGCAUUAGCGAGCUCAUAUUGAGCUUCCGUCUAUUGGUGUGAUAAUUAUCUACGCCGUGGAUUGGACUCAUGCUUGCUUCUAACCGUCCGCAAGGACAAUUUACUUGACCAAUUUGACCUCAAAUCAGGUAGGACUACCCGCUGAACUUAAGCAUAUCAAUAAGCGGAGGA
Molecule: unclassified non-coding RNA, 388 nt
Filed under: soil metagenome
Description: partial contains 5.8S ribosomal RNA, internal transcribed spacer 2, and large subunit ribosomal RNA
Rfam family: 5.8S ribosomal RNA (bases 1-120)
Source: RNAcentral